UGCUCAGGAUGAACGCCGGCGGCGUGCCUAAUACAUGCAAGUCGAGCGAAUGGAUUAAGAGCUUGCUCUUAUGAAGUUAGCGGCGGACGGGUGAGUAACACGUGGGUAACCUGCCCAUAAGACUGGGAUAACUCCGGGAAACCGGGGCUAAUACCGGAUAACAUUUUGAACCGCAUGGUUCGAAAUUGAAAGGCGGCUUCGGCUGUCACUUAUGGAUGGACCCGCGUCGCAUUAGCUAGUUGGUGAGGUAACGGCUCACCAAGGCAACGAUGCGUAGCCGACCUGAGAGGGUGAUCGGCCACACUGGGACUGAGACACGGCCCAGACUCCUACGGGAGGCAGCAGUAGGGAAUCUUCCGCAAUGGACGAAAGUCUGACGGAGCAACGCCGCGUGAGUGAUGAAGGCUUUCGGGUCGUAAAACUCUGUUGUUAGGGAAGAACAAGUGCUAGUUGAAUAAGCUGGCACCUUGACGGUACCUAACCAGAAAGCCACGGCUAACUACGUGCCAGCAGCCGCGGUAAUACGUAGGUGGCAAGCGUUAUCCGGAAUUAUUGGGCGUAAAGCGCGCGCAGGUGGUUUCUUAAGUCUGAUGUG
Molecule: ribosomal RNA, 595 nt
Filed under: Bacillus cereus
Lineage: Bacteria; Bacillati; Bacillota; Bacilli; Caryophanales; Bacillaceae
Description: bacterial SSU rRNA
Rfam family: Bacterial small subunit ribosomal RNA
Source: RNAcentral